This 699-nucleotide ribosomal RNA is filed under the name uncultured bacterium. RNAcentral describes it as "bacterial SSU rRNA". It matches the Rfam family "Bacterial small subunit ribosomal RNA", at positions 8 to 704 of the family's 1533-position model. The record is from RNAcentral.
AGAGUUUGAUCCUGGCUCAGGAUGAACGCUAGCGGGAGGCUUAAUACAUGCAAGUCGAACGGUAAGGCCCUGCUUGCAGGGUACACGAGUGGCGGACGGGUGCGGAACGCGUACGGAACUUACCCUUUACUGGAGCAUAGCCCUGGGAAACUGGGAUUAAUACUCCAUAAUAUAUUAGAAAGGCAUCUUUUUAAUAUUAAAACUCCGGUGGUAAAGGAUAGUCGUGCGUCCCAUUAGCUUGUUGGUGAGGUAAUAGCUCACCAAGGCAACGAUGGGUAGCUGGCGUGAGAGCGUGGCCAGCCACACGGGAACUGAGACACGGUCCCGACUCCUACGGGAGGCAGCAGUAAGGAAUAUUGGACAAUGGGCGAAAGCCUGAUCCAGCCAUCCCGCGUGCAGGAUGAAUGCCCUAUGGGUUGUAAACUGCUUUUCUCAGGGAAGAAACACUCUGAUUUAUCAGAGCUUGACGGUACCUGAGGAAUAAGCACCGGCUAACUCCGUGCCAGCAGCCGCGGUAAUACGGAGGGUGCAAGCGUUAUCCGGAUUUACUGGGUUUAAAGGGUGCGUAGGCGGAUUUUUAAGUCAGUGGUGAAAGCCCGGAGCUCAACUUCGGAACUGCCAUUGAUACUAUUAGUCUUGAAUACAGUUGAGGUGGGCGGAAUGUGUAGUGUAGCGGUGAAAUGCUUAGAUAUUACACAG